UUGAACGCUGGCGGCAGGCCUAACACAUGCAAGUCGAGCGGAUGAAGGGAGCUUGCUCCUGGAUUCAGCGGCGGACGGGUGAGUAAUGCCUAGGAAUCUGCCUGGUAGUGGGGGAUAACGUCCGGAAACGGGCGCUAAUACCGCAUACGUCCUGAGGGAGAAAGUGGGGGAUCUUCGGACCUCACGCUAUCAGAUGAGCCUAGGUCGGAUUAGCUAGUUGGUGGGGUAAAGGCCUACCAAGGCGACGAUCCGUAACUGGUCUGAGAGGAUGAUCAGUCACACUGGAACUGAGACACGGUCCAGACUCCUACGGGAGGCAGCAGUGGGAAUAUUGGACAAUGGGCGAAAGCCUGAUCCAGCCAUGCCGCGUGUGUGAAGAAGGUCUUCGGAUUGUAAAGCACUUUAAGUUGGGAGGAAGGGCAGUAAGUUAAUACCUUGCUGUUUUGACGUUACCAACAGAAUAAGCACCGGCUAACUUCGUG
RNAcentral lists this ribosomal RNA (482 nucleotides) under uncultured bacterium. Its description in RNAcentral is "partial 16S ribosomal RNA". It matches the Rfam family "Bacterial small subunit ribosomal RNA", at positions 30 to 507 of the family's 1533-position model. The record is from RNAcentral.